Molecule: ribosomal RNA, 459 nt
Filed under: uncultured bacterium
Lineage: Bacteria
Description: partial 16S ribosomal RNA
Rfam family: Bacterial small subunit ribosomal RNA
Source: RNAcentral
CUACGGGUUGCUGCAGUGAGGAAUAUUGGUCAAUGGGCGAGAGCCUGAACCAGCCAUCCCGCGUGCAGGAUGACGGCCCUAUGGGUUGUAAACUGCUUUUCCAUACCAAGAAACCUGAUUACGUGUAAUUAGUUGCCGGUAGUAUGGGAAUAAGCAUCGGCUAACUCCGAGCCAGCAGCCGCGGUUAUACGGAGGAUGCAAGCGUUAUCCGGAUUCAUUGGGUUUAAAGGGUGCGCAGGUGGGCUUGUAAGUCAGUGGUGAAAUGUUGCCGCUUAACGGUAAAAUUGCCAUUGAUACUGCAAGUCUUGAAUAUAGUUGAGGUAGGCGGAAUGUGUUGUGUAGCGGUGAAAUGCAUAGAUAUGACACAGAACACCGAUUGCGAAGGCAGCUUACUAAGCUAUUAUUGACGCUGAGGCACGAAAGCGUGGGGAUCGAACAGGAUUAGAUACCCUAGUAGUC